This 492-nucleotide ribosomal RNA is filed under the name uncultured bacterium. RNAcentral's name for it is "partial 16S ribosomal RNA". It matches the Rfam family "Bacterial small subunit ribosomal RNA", at positions 29 to 507 of the family's 1533-position model. The record is from RNAcentral.
AGUGAACGCUGGCGGUAUGCCUAAUACAUGCAAGUCGAACGAAAGCACAGGAAGAUUUUUCUCCUACCGUUAGCGACUGGCGGGCGGGUGACGAAUGCAUCAGCUUCCUCUUUUUCUGGGGGAACUACGGAAAGACACUUAUAAUACCACCUCAUAUGUUCUACCGCUGUAUUCAGUGGUGCUUCGGAGCUUUCGUGUCUCAUUUAGCUGAUGUCGGAUUAGCUAGUUGGCUGGGUAAAGGCCCACCAAGGCGACGAUCCGUAGCUGGGCUGAGAGGAUGAUCAGCCACACUGGAACUGAGACACGGUCCAGACUCCUACGGGAGGCAGCAGUGGGGAAUAUUGGACAAUGGGCGCAAGCCUGAUCCAGCCAUACCGCGUGGGUGAAGAAGGCCUUCGGGUUGUAAAGCCCUUUUGUUGGGAAAGAAAAGCAGCAGGUUAAUACACCGCUGUUCUGACGGUACCCAAAGAAUAAGCACCGGCUAACUUCGUG